RNAcentral lists this long non-coding RNA (4492 nucleotides) under Olea europaea subsp. europaea. The record is from RNAcentral. Lineage: Eukaryota; Viridiplantae; Streptophyta; Magnoliopsida; Lamiales; Oleaceae.
GUGCUCAUUUCAUCUUUUUCCCAACUGGUAAAACACAUAAUCAUUAUCGUAAAUUCGUAAUUCUAUUUCCGUUUGCAUAUCAUUUUCCUCGUUGACACCGGACACCCUUCUUAGCCGCUACUCCGUACUAGGGUUUGGUUUCUCUUAUUUUUAAUUUUCGGUAGUGUUUAUUUCCAUUUUUACUCUACCUUGCAAGCUAUUAAUGAUCUUCUCCGUGUUCUGGCAAAAAAUUGUGGAAUUCAAAGGGUUUUCAAGGUUUAAGGGGAGAUAAGACGGGUACUUGGUAUUUUGGUGGGAGGACUUUUUUAUUUUUAUUUUUUCAUUUUGAAAAUUUGCGGUCGUGACUGUGUACUGUCUUGAAUUUUGAUUACUGCUUCAGCUUUGGAAUGAUUUGAAAGAGUGAUGGCGUGUUCAUUUGAAGAUCUGGAACUGGUUUACAUCUAGUGGGAUAUUUUAUUUUCGUUUUUAUUCCACCUUGCUAGUUAGUAUUUUUCUUCUCAGUGUUCUGGGAAUAAGAAACAGUGUAAAUUUGUGAAAUUCGAAAUUAUUUCAAGGUUUAAAGGAAAAAAGAUACAGUCUUGAUUCUGUGUUAUCUUGAAGUUUUGAUUGUUCGCUUUAUCUUUGUAAUGAUUUGAAAGAUAGGUGGCCAUGUUCAUUUGAAGAUCUAGAACCGUUUUAAAUCUAGUGGGAUAUUUUAUUCAGGAAGAAUUGAGCUUUUGCAUUGUUGAAGUAUAGUUGUUGACUUGAAAAGGGAAAAUGGAUAAUUCAAAUCUGCCUGGGCAGAUGAAUAGACAGAUUGAUCAUUUGGGUGUGAACAAGAUGGGAAAAAACAUUAAGAAGAGUCCUUUACACCAGCCCAAUUUUUCUGGCCCUGCUAGGCAACAGCCUCAACCCCAGGUCUACAAUAUUAACAAGAAUGAUUUCCGUAAUAUAGUUCAGCAGCUCACUGGAUCUCCUUCUCAAGAACCGCCAUCUAGACCUCCCCAAAACCCUCCAAAACCUGCAAGUAACCGAUUACAGAGAAUUCGCCCUCCGCCUUUGGCACCAAUGAAUCAACCUCAAAUCCCGAUUCAUCCUUCUAUGCCAAUGCCUGCAUCAGCACACCCUGUACGGGAGCUUCCUAACAACUUUGCAAGACCUCCUCCCCCUCCAGCCCAUUAUGGCCAACCUUCACCACCUGUGUUCCCACCAACUCCUACUGAUGUUUGGGCAAAUACAGCUGAGUCUCCUUUAUCAGCUUAUAUGCGCUACCUGCAAAAUUCAAUCAUCGAUCCAGGUUUCCGACAACCCCAGCCUCAUUAUCAACCUCACUUGCAACCUCAUGUUCCUGGUCAAAAUCUAGCUCGGCCAGCGGGUUCUGGUUUGCUUCCUAAUCCUACCAUGCAACCGUUCCCAUCUCCAAGAAUGAAUGGUCAUCCAAUCCCUCUUCCGUCACCUCGCAUGAAUGGCCCCUUGCCCCAUCUUCCUUCCCCUAGGAUGAAUGGCCCUCCUCCCCUUUUACCCUCUCCUACUUCUCAGUUCCUUUUACCUUCACCUACUGGCUAUUUGAAUUUAUUGUCUCCUCGAUCACCUUAUCCAUUACUUUCUCCAGGGUAUCAGCAUCCUCCUCCUCUGACUCCUAAUUUCUCAUUUUCUUCCGUGCCCCAAUCUGGAAUUUUAGGUCCUGGACCCCAGCUACCUCCUUCUCCUGGUUAUGGAUUUCCUUUGUCACCUUCAGGGUUUUUCCCUCUACUAAGUCCUAGAUGGAGGGAUGAAUAUUCUUAAAAGCACAAGCUACUGACUCGCAAGGGAUACAAAUACUGUCAUUUUUUAUGACUUUCUUCAUGUUGAGUCAUUUCUUCUGUAUCAUAGCUUCUCCUAUGGAUUUCAAUGUACACCGAGAUGCAACGGUUCAUCGUGGAAGUAUGUAGUCUUCGUGUUUGCUGUUGUUUUUCUUGUUUAUACAGGCGCCUUCUGAGAUGUGGAUUCUGUAACAGCUGCAAUCUGUUUUUAUCUGCCCAAAAUGAUUUACUUCAGGUGAUAUUCUGAAGAUUGGACCACUUCUGCAUACACAUGGGCGGCUGCAGCAUGUAAGCAGGUAGUAUUAUAGUCUUUGCAGAUUCAUGUAGGCCAGCUGAUGAAAAAGUAGUUUUGCAUUUUUGUAAUAUUGUUCAUCUUACAGUUAGUCUGAAUUGAGAUUCUUAGUGACUUUAUAAGAGCAUAAAAGUUCUCACUUUUCUGUUAAAUCAUUUUGCUUUUGCACUUGUAUUUUCAUAUACAAUCAUCUAUGUAUUUUUUUUUCCUUGGUAAGCUGUGAAUUUUUUGGGCUUAUUGAUAAUUUGUCUUUCUGAGCAAUUCUUGUGGUGGUAACAACUGCUAUUGCAAUUAAAAUUAAAUAAGUUUGUCUCGGAUGGAUGUGUGGAUGAGAUGGAAGUUAAAAAUAGUUUAUUUUUAGCAUUUUACUUGUUGAUAUGUAUAUUCAUAUUUUUAUUCAAUUUAGAAAAAUGUACUACCACUUCGGCAGUAGAAUUGUUGUUUGGCUUAUGUGUUUCAUUUACAAGGGUUGUCAGAAAACAUUUGACAAUUCUUGUCGUCUAUGACAGCAACCUCUGGAGGCACUUGUCCCUUUAGAUUUAGCUUGGCAAAUUUAUAAAUGGUUUAUAAAGAGAAAUAAUAUGGGUCUACUACAUAUGUGGAUAAUAAAUGAUUAGUAGUACUUAAUGUGUUGUUGAAGUUAACAUUUAACGUUGACUGAACUUAUAACCUACUUGUAAAUUGGCUUGCCAAACAGAGGUUUAGCCCUUGUUUGAUUCCCAUUCUUUUAUUAUUAAAAUGAAAAAUAUAACCGUUAUCCAUCACAUCAAGUCACAAAAUUUGAAUUUUUAUUUCUUGUGUGGGGCCCAUAACAGCUAUAUUUUUCAUUCACAUUCUUCAAAAGAUGAGAAACAAAUGGGGGCUUAAUUUUAUUUUUGUCUUCAAUGGAUGUCCUCACCUUUGUCAAGCAAGAUUAUCACCUUAUGGUGUGAUUUACAUGCCUCAUUGUCAAGCAUUAUCAUAGAUGCUGUUUUGUUUUAUUUUUAUUUUUCUUUUUUGAUUCUGAUAGUAUGUUAUUGAUAUAUUCUUCAUACACAAUCCUCUACAACUGAUGGAUGGGUUUAACUAUCGAUUCCGUUGAUCUCUUGUACAUCAUGACUUAGUUUGCAUCGUAGGUUCUACAGAGUCUUGCUGUCAUAUUCUCCUUUUUCAUCUUAACCUGACUUCCCCUUCAAACAAAAGAAAAUAUUUAUGAUUGUUUAACUCUCUCUCUCCAUAUAUAUAUAUAUAUAUAUGCAUAUGUAUAUAUAUAUAUGUAUAUAUGUAUAUAUCUAUGUAUGUAUGUAUGUAUGUAGAUAUAUGUAUGUAUGUCUGUACUGUUAUGCACAUGAAGUAUAGUUAUUUGAUGUUCAUUUAAUGAUAUGAAUGCUUGUUAAUCUAGAGUGCAGGGCUCGAUGUAUAUUAUUAGGGAGGUUGCGAAUCUAAAUAACCUCUUCCAUGGCCAAAGAUUUAGAUUUAUAAUAUAUUUUGUUUGUAAAAUUGCACCUAUGGUCGAUUCUAUUUUGGUCUCAAAAUUUAACACUUCGCUUUUGUCCUGUUACUUCAACUUCUUCAACCAUUGAGGACAGUAUUAGGUGGAAUGUGCAUUUUGAACGCAAAAGGUUACUUGUGGAGAACUUGUGUCGAUGCGUCUGCUUUGGAAAGGUAUUCUUGACUAUUCUAAGCAAAUCAAAGUUACCAGUCAAUGGGUCCUCGCAGUCAAAAAAAAUUAUGAGCCUUAGCAGUCCUCUACUAGAAACAAGUAUUCUGUUUUCCUUAUUACGUGAGUGAAGUAAAAUUUUAGGUAGUCGUGUAAGGAAUAUACUAGAAAUCCUGUCCUAUAAUUGCACUGACAUGGAACCUCUCUCAGCAUUCUGUCAUUAGCACACUACAAUUGACCCCCGACUCUUCAUCCCAUAAACAAUGUAUAUGAGCAUUCAUAACCAUUUUACCUUGUUUUUCGUUAGAUUUUUCUAGUUACAUUACAUUGAGUAAAUAUAUAUUCAUGUUAACUUGUACAUAGAAUAGUUAGUGUACUGUUUGAUUAUGCAGCUAUUGAGCAGGAAUUUUCCCUCCAAAGCUGCAUGCAACAUCAUAAUGUGCUCUGUAAAUGACUUCCAUACUCUGAUUGUCUACCAUUGCCCUCAAUCUGUGUAGAUACUCAAGCUAUGGUUGCUCAAUGUGAUUAAGAGCCAACAAGUGGGACUAGAAGGACACCAAGCCUUGCAAUAUUUUCUUUAUUGUAGCCAUUUAUGGCCCUAUUUUUUGAAUUGGCUUUCGUUUUCAUAAGAUCAAUAGAAUUUGACUAGUUUCUUCAUUUUCUGAUUGUAGCUCUUUGUAAUAGUUCUUUUUUGGUAAUGAUUCUAGUGUGUAGUUCUAACACAUUACAUUUUCAUGUGGAGUUCAUGUGAAGAGUAAGAGGGGUGGGAACAUGGAUUGG